AGAGUUUGAUCCUGGCUCAGGAUGAACGCUAGCGGCAGGCUUAAUACAUGCAAGUCAAGGGGGUAGCAAUACAACCGGCGCACGGGUGAGUAACGCGUACACAACAUACCAUAUACUGGGGUAUAGCUUCGGGAAACUGGAGAUAAUCCCCCAUAACAUUGCGAGAGGGCAUCUGAUUGCAAUUAAAGUUUCGACGGUAUAUGAUUGGUGUGCGUUUGAUUAGCUUGUUGGUAGGGUAACGGCCUACCAAGGCGACGAUCAAUAGCUGGCGUGAGAGCGCGACCAGCCACACUGGAACUGAGACACGGUCCAGACUCCUACGGGAGGCAGCAGUAGGGAAUAUUGGACAAUGGGCGAAAGCCUGAUCCAGCCAUGCCGCGUGAUAGAUGAAGGCCCUCUGGGUUGUAAAUAUCUUUUAUCUGGGAAGAAACUCCUCUAUUCUUAGAGGCCUGACGGUACCAGAGGAAUAAGCACCGGCUAACUCCGUGCCAGCAGCCGCGGUAAUACGGAGGGUGCAAGCGUUAUCCGGAUUCACUGGGUUUAAAGGGUGCGUAGGUGGGUUGAUAAGUCAGUGGUGAAAGCUCCGAGCUUAACUUGGAAACUGCCAUUGAUACUGUCAGUCUUGAAUGUCGUAGAGGUAAGCGGAAUGUUGCAUGUAGCGGUGAAAUGCUUAGAUAUGUUACAGAACACCAAUUGCGAAGGCAGCUUACUAUGCGAUGAUUGACGCUGAGGCACGAAAGCGUGGGGAGCAAACAGGAUUAGAUACCCCGGUAGU
Molecule: ribosomal RNA, 775 nt
Filed under: uncultured bacterium
Lineage: Bacteria
Description: bacterial SSU rRNA
Rfam family: Bacterial small subunit ribosomal RNA
Source: RNAcentral